Molecule: long non-coding RNA, 847 nt
Organism: Sitophilus oryzae (rice weevil)
Lineage: Eukaryota; Metazoa; Arthropoda; Insecta; Coleoptera; Curculionidae
Exons: 5
Source: RefSeq, a predicted model, not a curated record
UUCGGUAGUCCUAAAAAUUCCUGUUUCAGGAAUUUUGUCCUGGCUAACGUACUAAAUCUGUCAACGUCGCAUACUUUUCAAUCUUGUUUUGUUUUGGAAUUUGACAAGAUUAACCUCAGAAAAAGUUUAAAAUUAUAAUUUUUAUGAACAUUGACGAAUAAUGUUAUGAAUAAUGUAAUAGAACCUGAUAUAAAAUAAUCCGGAAAUAUUUACAAAUAAAGCAUAAACAAAAUGAAAGUGAUAGCAACACGAUUACCUUUGAUAAUGUGUUUUUUAUAUAAGAAUACGUCUACAUGGGUUGAAAUCUCAGAAAAUAUUAAGCUAUCCACAAAUUCCUGAAAAUAAAUUAGCCGUGAUUUGCGGAAAAAAUGUUCUUAAUUAUUUUUCCCACAUGAUGUCCUUUCAGGUUCCAGGAAACAGCACGGGCAUGUAUUAGGCAUAAUAAGUAAUUAUAAAAAUAUGAGCAAAAAUGAGAUGGUUUAAAAGAGUGAAAAUUUUAAGGUUAAGAAAUCUGAAACUCAAAGGAAAACUGAUUAAAAACUGAUAAAUAAGUACCGUUAAACUGGAAAAGCAAACUACUAUACGCAUAAUACAAAAGACAAUUUAUCAUCUUUAAAACCAUAAGGCAUAUGAUAUAUGAGAUAGGUAGCACAAGGACAUAUCGGCAAGCCUUAGGUUGGUGUUUACGCGUGUAGGUGUGAAUCGCUAUGGUGAUCUGGUCGGAGAUAGAAAAAUAUAAAAUAUUUAUUACAUAACCACACUUAAUCUGAUGAUUUCCUAUGCAUUCAAUACCAAGUUCAAUACAUCUGAUUGUAAUAAGCAUAUUGGCCAUACUCUUCAUAUACAU